UGGGGAAUCUUCCACAAUGGGCGCAGCCUGAUGGAGCAACACCGCGUGAGUGAAGAAGGGUUUCGGCUCGUAAAGCUCUGUUGUUAAAGAAGAACACGUAUGAGAGUAACUGUUCAUACGUUGACGGUAUUUAACCAGAAAGUCACGGCUAACUACGUGCCGG
This 163-nucleotide ribosomal RNA is filed under the name uncultured bacterium. Its description in RNAcentral is "partial 16S rRNA". It matches the Rfam family "Bacterial small subunit ribosomal RNA", at positions 355 to 511 of the family's 1533-position model. The record is from RNAcentral.